AUGUUUAUUUUGGCAGCACAUACACUAAAAUUGGAACAAUACAGAGAAAAUUAGCAUUGCCACUGUGCAAGGAGGACAUGCAAAUUCAUGAAGCAUUCCAUAUUUUU
Small nuclear RNA from Prolemur simus (greater bamboo lemur), 107 nucleotides. Lineage: Eukaryota; Metazoa; Chordata; Mammalia; Primates; Lemuridae. The record is from Ensembl.